Molecule: long non-coding RNA, 875 nt
Filed under: Linum usitatissimum (flax)
Lineage: Eukaryota; Viridiplantae; Streptophyta; Magnoliopsida; Malpighiales; Linaceae
Description: long non-coding RNA (LUSI_LNC005387)
Source: RNAcentral
GACUAUAAUAGAAUCGCAGAAAAGCCUAAAACUCGGCCAACCCUAAUCUAAAAUCAAAAAAAUCAAUCGCUACAACAGAGUUCAUAGUUCAUACUGUCGCCGGUCGAUCUGCUUCAGCAUUCAAGCCUUCAACCAACCGACGGUCGUCGCCUUCAACCCGCCGACAAUUGUCCCUGGUUCUUCAAAUCUAUCUUAAAGGCAGACCCAGAGGUAAGCUCUCUUAUUCAAAAUCAAUUGUUGUUCUGGUCUUGAUUUUAUAUGUUGUAGGAGAUGGCAGGAACUUUGAAGUUAAUGGAGGCUGCAUCUACAGACGCAAAAACAAAAGCCGAAUUACAGCCACAAUCUUGAGCCAAUAUUCGAGGAAAAAGUGAUCCAGCCUUGGAAUAUGCUAUGUUUACCAAUGGAAAAACUUAAUUGCACAUUCUGACCACACAUUGUUGGUGGUGGGGGAAUUAGCAUAUUCAAGCUUCACUUGGCUGAAGUCAAACUGAAUAUGAAGGCAUGUACCAGUGUUCUUAUUCAUAUAUGUGAAGGAAUGUUGAAGCACUUGGAUGGAAAUGCAAAAAAGACCAAAACUAUUGCAGCACAUAAGAGAUGUUUCAGUGAUCUUGCUAGAGAGGAUGGUAGCUCCGAAUAGAUAGUACAGAGGCCUCAACUCCAUGAAGCACGGAUGAGUUUCCUCUCAUUCAUACACCCAAUGCUUGUCCUAGACCAGGAAGUUCAUUGAGACAACCAUAAAUAAAAAAUGAUCUAAGAGGGCAGGAAGCUGCUUUGAGAAUAGACUGGAUAGUUGUUAGGUUCUAGAAUGAACAUUAUCUUCCCUUUAAUAUUGUAUCUUCUCAUAGCUUUCACGUCUUGAUAAAUACCAUUUCUAG